RNAcentral lists this long non-coding RNA (1206 nucleotides) under Hordeum vulgare. RNAcentral describes it as "long non-coding RNA (HVUL_LNC019643)". The record is from RNAcentral. Lineage: Eukaryota; Viridiplantae; Streptophyta; Magnoliopsida; Poales; Poaceae.
GCGGGAGACCGAGAUGGCGCGCGGCGUGACGGCGGCUACCAAGGGCGGCGCGGGCGCCGGGAAGAAGAAGGGGUCGGUCACCUUCGUGAUCGACUGCACCAAGCCCGUGGACGAUAAGAUCAUGGAGAUCGCGUCGCUCGAGAAGUUCCUGCAGGAGCGCAUCAAGGUCGCCGGGGGCAAGGCCGGCAACCUCGGCGAUUCCGUCACCGUCGCCCGCGACAAGAGCAAGGUCACCGUCACUUCCGACGGGGCCUUCUCCAAGAGGUACGGACGCGCCACCGCUUAGCCCCCUUCCCAGAUCCACGCGCACCCCGGUCCUGGCCAGGUGUAAUUCCUGGGUAGCAUUUGUUGAAUCCUACGGAGGGUGUAGGUUGUCAGUCAGCUAGUGGUGGAUCGCGAUUAGGAGUUCUUCCUCCAUUUGUGAUGGCCGGGUUGUGGAGCGCUUAGAAGUAAUUCUGUCGACGCAUGCUAAGCACGUUUUACCGUGAUAUCUUCCAAUGUCAGUCCAAUGUUAGAAGCUGAGAUGGCUAUCAUAUUAGUGGAUCCAUCACUGGCGGAUUUGCCGGUUGCACGCCUGUUUUAUAGUGGAAACUGUGAUCAGUAGUCACCACUAAUUACAUAUUCCGACAUAGAACUAGGUUGUGGCUAGUCAGUUACAGUUGAUGUUGUAGUAGGAGUAAUUGUUUUUUGUUUUGUUAGUCAAUGUUUCAUUAGCCAUGACAAUUCUGGAUAUAGUUUUUUCAAAUCUUUAUUGUCCAUUUUAGUAGUAAAUGUUUUUUGCACUGCAUCAUAUCAGUUGCAAUUCCUUCUUAAAAAGGAGUAUUGCUUUGUUCUCCAGUUUAGUACUCAAUGUUUUCUUUUUGCACUGCAUCAUAUCAGUUGCAAUUCCUGCUUAAAAAAGAGUAUUGCUUUGUUUUCCAGUUUAGUACUCAAUGUUUUCCUUGUCAUGAACAGUGGCUCCUGUGUUCAUAUGUUUCUUUUCUUCAUGCUAUCCUCUUAUGUUUAAUCUCAUGCAUUCUCAUUUUCGCAGGUACUUGAAGUAUUUGACAAAGAAGUACCUGAAGAAGCACAAUGUGCGUGACUGGCUUCGGGUGAUUUCGUCCAACAAGGAUCGCAGCGUCUACGAGCUCCGGUACUUCAACAUUGCUGAGAAUGAGGGUGAGGAGGAGGAUUAGAUAUGCACUGUCUUGUUUCUGUGUCGUGUGA